RNAcentral lists this ribosomal RNA (253 nucleotides) under uncultured bacterium. RNAcentral describes it as "partial 16S ribosomal RNA". It matches the Rfam family "Bacterial small subunit ribosomal RNA", at positions 524 to 776 of the family's 1533-position model. The record is from RNAcentral.
UACGUAGGGUGCAAGCGUUGUCCGGAAUUAUUGGGCGUAAAGAGCUCGUAGGCGGUCUGUCGCGUCGGCUGUGAAAGUCAAAGGCUCAACCUUUGAAAGCCGGUGGAUACUGUGGGGCUAGAGUACGGAAGAGGCGAGUGGAAUUCCUGGUGUAGCGGUGGAAUGCGCAGAUAUCAGGAGGAACACCAAUAGCGAAGGCAGCUCGCUGGGACGUCACUGACGCUGAGGCGCGAAAGCGUGGGGAGCGAACAGG